RNAcentral lists this ribosomal RNA (499 nucleotides) under uncultured bacterium. Its description in RNAcentral is "partial 16S ribosomal RNA". It matches the Rfam family "Bacterial small subunit ribosomal RNA", at positions 28 to 507 of the family's 1533-position model. The record is from RNAcentral.
GACGAACGCUGGCGGCGUGCCUAAUACAUGCAAGUCGAGCGAAGUUUUUCUGGUGCUUGCACCGGAAAAACUUAGCGGCGAACGGGUGAGUAACACGUAAAGAACCUGCCUCAUAGGCUGGGACAACUAUUGGAAACGAUAGCUAAUACCGGAUAACAGCAUUAACUGCAUGGUUGAUGUUUAAAAGUUGGUUUUGCUAACACUAUGAGAUGGCUUUGCGGUGCAUUAGCUAGUUGGUGGGGUAAAGGCCUACCAAGGCGACGAUGCAUAGCCGACCUGAGAGGGUGAUCGGCCACACUGGGACUGAGACACGGCCCAGACUCCUACGGGAGGCAGCAGUAGGGAAUCUUCCGCAAUGGGCGAAAGCCUGACGGAGCAACGCCGCGUGAGUGAAGAAGGAUUUCGGUUCGUAAAGCUCUGUUGUUAGGGAAGAAUGAUUGUGUAGUAACUAUACACAGUAGAGACGGUACCUAGCCAGAAAGCCACGGCUAACUACGUG